RNAcentral lists this ribosomal RNA (466 nucleotides) under uncultured bacterium. RNAcentral's name for it is "bacterial SSU rRNA". It matches the Rfam family "Bacterial small subunit ribosomal RNA", at positions 329 to 792 of the family's 1533-position model. The record is from RNAcentral.
UUCCAGACUCCUACGGGAGGCAGCAGUGAGGAAUAUUGGUCAAUGGGCGGGAGCCUGAACCAGCCAAGUCGCGUGGGGGAAGACGGUCCUACGGAUUGUAAACCUCUUUUGCCGGGGAGCAACGGGGUCCUUGCGAGGGCCCGAUGAGAGUACCCGGAGAAAAAGCAUCGGCUAACUCCGUGCCAGCAGCCGCGGUAAUACGGAGGAUGCGAGCGUUAUCCGGAUUUAUUGGGUUUAAAGGGUGCGUAGGCGGGCAUUUAAGCCGGCGGUCAAAUGUCGGGGCUCAACCCCGGCCUGCCGUCGGAACUGGGUGCCUUGAGUGGGCGAGAAGUAUGCGGAAUGCGUGGUGUAGCGGUGAAAUGCAUAGAUAUCACGCAGAACCCCGAUUGCGAAGGCAGCAUACCGGCGCCCUACUGACGCUGAGGCACGAAAGUGCGGGUAUCGAACAGGAUUAGAUACCCUAGUA